UCGAGGAUCAUUCGCAAUGGGGGAAACCCUGACGAUGCGACGCUGCGUGGAGGAUGAAGGCCCUCGGGUUGUAAACUCCUGUCAUGAGGGAAGAGGAGAGCGCCGCCAACACCGGCGCGAUUUGACGGUACCUCAAGAGGAAGCCACGGCUAACUCUGUGCCAGCAGCCGCGGUAAUACAGAGGUGGCGAGCGUUGUUCGGAUUUACUGGGCGGAAAGGGCGCGUAGGCGGCGGAGUGUGUCGGGUGUGAAAUCCCAGGGCCCAACCCUGGAAGUGCGCCCGAAACUG
Molecule: ribosomal RNA, 288 nt
Filed under: uncultured prokaryote
Description: partial 16S ribosomal RNA
Rfam family: Bacterial small subunit ribosomal RNA
Source: RNAcentral